Molecule: non-coding RNA, 110 nt
Organism: Lineolata rhizophorae
Lineage: Eukaryota; Fungi; Ascomycota; Dothideomycetes; Lineolatales; Lineolataceae
Source: the annotation of a GenBank genome assembly
GGCAAGAUGGCCGAGUGGUUAUGGCGUGUGACUCAAGCUUUCAAGCUUCCUCAGCGUAGCGAGGGUUCUCAUGGGCUUAGCCCGCGUGGGUUCGAAUCCCACUCUUGUCA